GAGGGUGCAAGCGUUAUUCGGAAUUACUGGGCGUAAAGCGCGCGUAGGUGGUUUGUUAAGUUGGAUGUGAAAGCCCCGGGCUCAACCUGGGAACUGCAUCCAAAACUGGCAAGCUAGAGUAGGGCAGAGGGUGGUGGAAUUUCCUGUGUAGCGGUGAAAUGCGUAGAUAUAGGAAGGAACACCAGUGGCGAAGGCGACCACCUGGGCUCAUACUGACACUGAGGUGCGAAAGCGUGGGGAGCAAACAGG
Molecule: ribosomal RNA, 249 nt
Filed under: uncultured bacterium
Lineage: Bacteria
Description: partial 16S ribosomal RNA
Rfam family: Bacterial small subunit ribosomal RNA
Source: RNAcentral